AUUGAACGCUGGCGGCAGGCCUAACACAUGCAAGUCGGACGGUAGCACAGAGAGCUUGCUCUUGGGUGACGAGUGGCGGACGGGUGAGUAAUGUCUGGGGAUCUGCCCGAUAGAGGGGGAUAACCACUGGAAACGGUGGCUAAUACCGCAUAACGUCGCAAGACCAAAGAGGGGGACCUUCGGGCCUCUCACUAUCGGAUGAACCCAGAUGGGAUUAGCUAGUAGGCGGGGUAAUGGCCCACCUAGGCGACGAUCUCUAGCUGGUCAGAGAGGAUGACCAGCCACACUGGAACUGAGACACGGUCCAGACUCCUACGGGAGGCAGCAGUGGGGAAUAUUGCACAAUGGGCGCAAGCCUGAUGCAGCCAUGCCGCGUGUAUGAAGAAGGCCUUCGGGUUGUAAAGUACUUUCAGCGGGGAGGAAGGCGAUGCGGUUAAUAACCGCGUCGAUUGACGUUACCCGCAGAAGAAGCACCGGCUAACUCCGUGCCAGCCGCUGCGGUAA
This 504-nucleotide ribosomal RNA is filed under the name uncultured bacterium. RNAcentral's name for it is "partial 16S ribosomal RNA". It matches the Rfam family "Bacterial small subunit ribosomal RNA", at positions 29 to 523 of the family's 1533-position model. The record is from RNAcentral.